UGUGGUCCGGUGCACCUUUCUCUGUGGUGAACACCACGACCCGGUGGUAUUGCCAGUCUGCUGUGUCCAAGUUGUGCUCGGUAGGUCGUCAUGGCCAACCGGGUGCAGCGAUCACACGCAAACUCAGUAAACGGCGUAGAGGUGUUUCGGCAUUUCUGCGUGUUAUCGGCUACUGGUUGUGAACGGGCCUGCUCGGUGCUUGUUGUAGUUGGCAUCGGGUGGCUCGGUGGGACACGGUGGUAAGAAUAACUGUGCAAGGCACCGGAGUUCGCGGCCUCAAAUGCAUUCUGCGCCCAGGCUACAACUGGUUUGUGGGUGGCGCCGUUGCUGUCUGCCCGGUCUUGUUGGGUCUGAUCGUCGUGUUGUCUGCGUAAAGUGGACCCGGCGGUGGCUCGACUCGGGAUGGGCAGUUGGCGGUGUUGCCAGUGCAGAGUGCUGUGGGCCCAAUAGUCAGUGGUGUAGUGGUAGACGAGCUACCCGACCCGUCUUGAAACACGGACCAAGGAGUUUAACGUGUAUGCGAGUCAAUGGGCCCUACGAAACCCAAAGGCGCAGUGAAAGUGAAGCUCCGACUUGUCUCGGGGUGAGGUGAGAUCCUGCUGUUACUCGCAUCAGUCUAAUGUGUCAGCAUCAGGCUAAGAGCAGUGGGCGCAUCACCGGCCCGUCCCAUGACGUGGUCAUUGGAUGUCUGCGGCGGCGGCGGCGGCUCUUGUCGUCGUCUUCGUCGUGGUGCCAGUGCGUCGUCCGGGGCGGUGCAUGAGCAUACACGUUGAGACCCGAAAGAUGGUGAACUAUGCUUGCGUAGGUUGGAAAGCCAGAUUA
This 822-nucleotide ribosomal RNA is filed under the name Gangesia bengalensis. Its description in RNAcentral is "partial 28S ribosomal RNA". The stretch from base 353 to 822 matches the Rfam family "Eukaryotic large subunit ribosomal RNA", at positions 1 to 859 of the family's 3401-position model. The record is from RNAcentral. Lineage: Eukaryota; Metazoa; Platyhelminthes; Cestoda; Proteocephalidea; Proteocephalidae.